AGGGGAUUAGCUCAGCUGGCUGAGGCCUGCCUUGCACGCAGGAGGUCAACGGUUCGACUCCGUUAUUCUCCACCA
Molecule: transfer RNA, 75 nt
Filed under: Pedobacter sp. IW39
Lineage: Bacteria; Pseudomonadati; Bacteroidota; Sphingobacteriia; Sphingobacteriales; Sphingobacteriaceae
Description: tRNA-Ala
Rfam family: tRNA
About the family: Transfer RNA (tRNA) molecules are approximately 80 nucleotides in length.
Source: RNAcentral